Molecule: ribosomal RNA, 253 nt
Filed under: uncultured bacterium
Lineage: Bacteria
Description: partial 16S ribosomal RNA
Rfam family: Bacterial small subunit ribosomal RNA
Source: RNAcentral
GACAGAGGGUGCAAACGUUGUUCGGAAUUACUGGGCGUAAAGCGCGUGUAGGCGGCCCUGUAAGUCGGAUGUGAAAUCCCACGGCUCAACCGUGGAAGUGCAUUCGAAACUACAGGGCUAGAGUCCUGGAGAGGAAGGUGGAAUGCUUGGUGUAGAGGUGAAAUUCGUAGAUAUCAAGCGGAACACCGGUGGCGAAGGCGGCCUUCUGGACAGUGACUGACGCUGAGACGCGAAAGCGUGGGGAGCAAACAGG